RNAcentral lists this transfer RNA (73 nucleotides) under Pseudomonadota bacterium. Its description in RNAcentral is "tRNA-Ala". It matches the Rfam family "tRNA". From Rfam's summary of the family: Transfer RNA (tRNA) molecules are approximately 80 nucleotides in length. Their secondary structure includes four short double-helical elements and three loops (D, anti-codon, and T loops). Lineage: Bacteria; Pseudomonadati; Pseudomonadota. RNAcentral also lists the same sequence under 3 other names. The record is from RNAcentral.
GGGGACGUAGCUCAAUUGGGAGAGCGUCGCGUUCGCAAUGCGAAGGUCGUGGGUUCGAAUCCCAUCGUCUCCA